CCUACGGGUGGCAGCAGUGGGGAAUAUUGCACAAUGGGGGGAACCCUGAUGCAGCGACGCCGCGUGAGUGAAGAAGUAUUUCGGUAUGUAAAGCUCUAUCUGUAGGGAAGAAGAUGACGGUACCUGACUAAGAAGCUCCGUCUAACUACGUGCCAGCAGCCGCGGUAAUACGGAGGGGGCAAGCGUUAUCCGGAUUUACUGGGUGUUAAGGGAGCGUAGACGGCAUGGCAAGUCUGGAGUGAAAGCCCGGGGCUCAACCCCGGGACUGCUUUUGAAACUGCCAUGUUGGAGUGCUGGAGAGGUAAGCGGAAUUUCUAGUGUAGCGGUGAAAUGCGUAGAUAUUAGGAGGAACACCAGUGGCGAAGGCGGCUUACUGGACAGUAACUGACGUUGAGGCUCGAAAGCGUGGGGAGCAAACAGGAUUAGAUACCCUAGUAGUC
This 440-nucleotide ribosomal RNA is filed under the name uncultured bacterium. RNAcentral describes it as "partial 16S ribosomal RNA". It matches the Rfam family "Bacterial small subunit ribosomal RNA", at positions 338 to 795 of the family's 1533-position model. The record is from RNAcentral.